RNAcentral lists this long non-coding RNA (1781 nucleotides) under Salmo salar (Atlantic salmon). Its description in RNAcentral is "lncRNA (ENSSSAG00000115305.1)". Lineage: Eukaryota; Metazoa; Chordata; Actinopteri; Salmoniformes; Salmonidae. The record is from RNAcentral.
UCUACACCAUCCAUAUGUUCUUCUGAAAUAUCAACACAGAAAUACUGGACAAUUAUGGUUGCGAUUUGACACAAUUACAACUAUGGUCUUGAAUUGGAAUCACAUUUUUUCUGGUCGCCAUCCUCCCGGCAUUUUUCUUGUCAACCCCCUCCCAGAUCAUGGUCUUGACUCGGGCUCAAUUUUCUCCGGUCUUGGUCUUGAAUCGGUCUUGCUUUAAGUGGUCUUGAAAACAACACUGCCUUUGGAUUUGCCAGUGCUGCUCCUAAUGUGACUAAUGUCCUGUUCUCCUCUUCCUCUCUGUCUUCCUCUUCUUCUUCUCCCUGUAUCUACUUCUCAGUAGUACCACUGCACCCUAACAUCCCCACCAUGCCUCCUCCUCCACCUCCUCCUCCACUUCCUCCUCCUCUUCCUCCUGUCUCUCAGGCACCUCCCCCUCCUCCUCCUCUAAGCAACGGAUUUCACUUCUCGUUUGUCUAAUCAGAGAAAACAAACCAAAGCGCUUUCUGGACACUGAGGUGCUGUUCCAUGAUGACAAUACAACCUGGAUUCUUGAAGAAAGAAAGACCUUGUUUGGUUGUGACAGUUACACUGUUAUACAGUAGAUGGGCGUUAGUGAACAUUUAACCUGCCCUCAGUAGCACGCAGCAGGACUUACUCGCUGAUGCAUUUUUAGUAGCUAAAAUGAAGUAACUAUUUUCUUAAGAAAAUGUAUGUCUGCUGUGAAAGCUGCUGUGCAUAUUAACUUUGGAAGUGUCUAACAGAUGUUAAUCCCAUAAUAGAAAAUGUUUUAUACACGUUAUUGCACUUUUAGCAUUAUACUGUAGAACUGAAAGAGAUAUUUUCAAGGUGAGAAUGUUUUGUCUUGCAGUGUGAUCUGAAUUUGGAGGGAACUUGUAUUUUUUCAAAAAGGUUAAUGAGAGUAUUCACCAACUGGAAGGUCGAUAUGAACAUGAUAAGGUACUGAACAUGUGUCAUGUUGAUUGUAUUUUUGUCAAAACUCAGAUGAUAUUCUUACACCAAAUCACUUGAAAUGUAAUCUGUGUUUGUAUCUAGCACUGCCAGUCUCUUAUUGGCUUGCCAAAUUGAUUUUAUUUUUGCUUACAACAUUGGGAGGAAAAUAACAUUGAACAUAAUAUUUUCUGGAUGGCUUGGGCAGGUUGCACAAUGAUAAUUAUUAAAAAUGUAAAUAUUAAAGAUAUUAACAUGACAUUUGCCUUAUCAAAUGUUUUGUCUUCAGACAACAGACUCAUGCAGUAGUCGUAAUAACCGGUUUAAGAUCACGGUAUACUGAGGUAUUCAGAGAAUAUGAACCCCCAAAACUCUUAGGUCUUAUAGCCUAUUGUACAGUAUUGAAUUUAAAUCAUAUGUUAUUGCGUCAGUUUAAUAAUUGUACUACUAUGUGGAUGACAGUUGAAUAAUAUGGUUGACUGUGUUGGAAUCUUCAAAACCCUUUAUCUUGUGCCAGUUCUGAUAACCUUCUCUUCAUGCUGACCAAAAAGUACAACAUGUAGCCUCAUCACAGCUCCAAGUAUUCUUUUUGAACAUUCCUAUUGAUUGCUUUGACCUGUUACAUUUCAUUCUAUUAUCUGAGAAGGGAAUCCAACUUUACAGGCUCAAACCAAAUGAGGCAAACUUUCAAUACAAAAAAACAUUAAAUGUUUCUUUAGUUUAAAGCUUCACCUUCUUAAAGGGCAUUUUCUAUUCCAUGUCUCUACAUUUUCAACUGGGAAGGUGGGUAGUAAUAACAUUGGUGUAUCUGAAGCAUAGAAUUUGUAUCUUUA